UGAACGCUGGCGGCAGGCCUAACACAUGCAAGUCGAGCGGAUGAAGGGAGCUUGCUCCUGGAUUCAGCGGCGGACGGGUGAGUAAUGCCUAGGAAUCUGCCUGGUAGUGGGGGAUAACGUCCGGAAACGGGCGCUAAUACCGCAUACGUCCUGAGGGAGAAAGUGGGGGAUCUUCGGACCUCACGCUAUCAGAUGAGCCUAGGUCGGAUUAGCUAGUUGGUGGGGUAAAGGCCUACCAAGGCGACGAUCCGUAACUGGUCUGAGAGGAUGAUCAGUCACACUGGAACUGAGACACGGUCCAGACUCCUACGGGAGGCAGCAGUGGGGAAUAUUGGACAAUGGGCGAAAGCCUGAUCCAGCCAUGCCGCGUGUGUGAAGAAGGUCUUCGGAUUGUAAAGCACUUUAAGUUGGGAGGAAGGGCAGUAAGUUAAUACCUUGCUGUUUUGACGUUACCAACAGAAUAAGCACCGGCUAACUUCGUGCCAGCAGCCGCGGUAAUACGAAGGGUGCAAGCGUUAAUCGGAAUUACUGGGCGUAAAGCGCGCGUAGGUGGUUCAGCAAGUUGGAUGUGAAAUCCCCGGGCUCAACCUGGGAACUGCAUCCAAAACUACUGAGCUAGAGUACGGUAGAGGGUGGUGGAAUUUCCUGUGUAGCGGUGAAAUGCGUAGAUAUAGGAAGGAACACCAGUGGCGAAGGCGACCACCUGGACUGAUACUGACACUGAGGUGCGAAAGCGUGGGGGGCAAACAGGAUUAGAUACCCUGGUAGUCCACGCCGUAAACGAUGUCGACUAGCCGUUGGGAUCCUUGAGAUCUUAGUGGCGCAGCUAACGCGAUAAGUCGACCGCCUGGGGAGUACGGCCGCAAGGUUAAAACUCAAAUGAAUUGACGGGGGCCCGCACAAGCGGUGGAGCAUGUGGUUUAAUUCGAAGCAACGCGAAGAACCUUACCUGGCCUUGACAUGCUGAGAACUUUCCAGAGAUGGAUUGGUGCCUUCGGGAACUCAGACACAGGUGCUGCAUGGCUGUCGUCAGCUCGUGUCGUGAGAUGUUGGGUUAAGUCCCGUAACGAGCGCAACCCUUGUCCUUAGUUACCAGCACCUCGGGUGGGCACUCUAAGGAGACUGCCGGUGACAAACCGGAGGAAGGUGGGGAUGACGUCAAGUCAUCAUGGCCCUUACGGCCAGGGCUACACACGUGCUACAAUGGUCGGUACAAAGGGUUGCCAAGCCGCGAGGUGGAGCUAAUCCCAUAAAACCGAUCGUAGUCCGGAUCGCAGUCUGCAACUCGACUGCGUGAAGUCGGAAUCGCUAGUAAUCGUGAAUCAGAAUGUCACGGUGAAUACGUUCCCGGGCCUUGUACACACCGCCCGUCACACCAUGGGAGUGGGUUGCUCCAGAAGUAGCUAGUCUAACCGCAAGGGGGACGGUUACCACGGAGUGAUUCAUGACUGGGGUGAAGUCGUAACAAGGU
Molecule: ribosomal RNA, 1471 nt
Filed under: uncultured bacterium
Lineage: Bacteria
Description: 16S ribosomal RNA
Rfam family: Bacterial small subunit ribosomal RNA
Source: RNAcentral